This 497-nucleotide ribosomal RNA is filed under the name uncultured bacterium. Its description in RNAcentral is "partial 16S ribosomal RNA". It matches the Rfam family "Bacterial small subunit ribosomal RNA", at positions 28 to 507 of the family's 1533-position model. The record is from RNAcentral.
GAUGAACGCUGGCGGCGUGCCUAAUACAUGCAAGUCGAGCGAACGGACGAGAAGCUUGCUUCUCUGAUGUUAGCGGCGGACGGGUGAGUAACACGUGGAUAACCUACCUAUAAGACUGGGAUAACUUCGGGAAACCGGAGCUAAUACCGGAUAAUAUUUUGAACCGCAUGGUUCAAAAGUGAAAGACGGUCUUGCUGUCACUUAUAGAUGGAUCCGCGCUGCAUUAGCUAGUUGGUAAGGUAACGGCUUACCAAGGCAACGAUGCAUAGCCGACCUGCGAGGGUGAUAGGCCACACUGGAACUGAGACACGGUCCAGACUCCUACGGGAGGCAGCAGUAGGGAAUCUUCCGCAAUGGGCGAAAGCCUGACGGAGCAACGCCGCGUGAGUGAUGAAGGUCUUCGGAUCGUAAAACUCUGUUAUUAGGGAAGAACAUAUGUGUAAGUAACUGUGCACAUCUUGACGGUACCUAAUCAGAAAGCCACGGCUAACUACGUG